GUGCCAGCAGCCGCGGUAAUACCAGCUCUCCGAGUGGUAGGGAUGAUUAUUGGGCUUAAAGCGUGCGUAGCCGGCUUGACAAGUCUUCUGUUAAAUCCAGCAACCCAAUUGUUGGACUGCGGGAGAUACUGUCUAGCUAGAGAACGGGAGAAGCCGACGGUACUCUCAGGGUAGGAGUGAAAUCCUAUAAUCCUGGGAGGACCACCAGUGGCGUAGGCUGUCGGCUAGAACGUGUCUGACGGUGAGGAACGAAAGCUUGGGGAGCGAACCGGAUUAGAUACCCGGGUAGUCCAAGCUGUAAACGAUGCGGGCUAGGUGUUGGGGUGGCUACGUGCCACUUCAGUGCCGCAGGGAAACCGUUAAGCCCGCCGCCUGGGGAGUACGGUCGCAAGGCUGAAACUCAAAGGAAUUGGCGGGG
This 418-nucleotide ribosomal RNA is filed under the name uncultured prokaryote. Its description in RNAcentral is "bacterial SSU rRNA". It matches the Rfam family "Archaeal small subunit ribosomal RNA", at positions 455 to 873 of the family's 1478-position model. The record is from RNAcentral.